ACACGUAGGGGCCUGACGUUGUUCGGAAUCAUUGGGCGUAAAGGGCGCGCAGGCGGCUGUCCAAGUCCGGUGUUAAAUGGUCGGGCUCAACCCGAUCAUGCGCUGGAAACUGGGCGGCUUGAGUCCCGUAGGGGAUGCCGGAAUUCCAGGUGUAGGGGUGAAAUCUGUAGAUAUCUGGAAGAACACCGAUGGCGAAGGCAGGCAUCUGGCCGGAGACUGACGCUGAGGCGCGAAGGCGCGGGGAGCGAACAGGUUUAGAUACCCUGGUAGUCCGCGCAGUAAACGAUGCGCACCAGGUGUCGGGCGGCAGCGCCCGGUACCGGAGCUAACGCGAUGAGUGCGCCGCCUGGGGAGUAUGCCCGCAAGGGUGAAACUCAAAGGAAUUGGCGGG
Molecule: ribosomal RNA, 391 nt
Filed under: uncultured bacterium
Lineage: Bacteria
Description: partial 16S ribosomal RNA
Rfam family: Bacterial small subunit ribosomal RNA
Source: RNAcentral